GUCUACGGCCAGGUCGCCCUGAACGUGCCCGAUCCCGUCUGAUCUCGGAAGCUAAGCAGGGUCGGGCCUGGUUAGUACUUGGAUGGGAGACCACCUUGGAAACCAGGUGCUGGAGGCA
This 118-nucleotide ribosomal RNA is filed under the name Pteropus alecto (black flying fox). Lineage: Eukaryota; Metazoa; Chordata; Mammalia; Chiroptera; Pteropodidae. The record is from RNAcentral.